RNAcentral lists this ribosomal RNA (253 nucleotides) under uncultured bacterium. Its description in RNAcentral is "partial 16S ribosomal RNA". It matches the Rfam family "Bacterial small subunit ribosomal RNA", at positions 524 to 776 of the family's 1533-position model. The record is from RNAcentral.
UACAGGGGGGGCAAGCGUUGUCCGGAAUUAUUGGGCGUAAAGAGCUCGUAGGCGGCUUGUCGCGUCGGCUGUGAAAACCUAGGGCUCAACCCUGGGCCUGCAGCCGAUACGGGCAAGCUAGAAUUCGGUAGGGGAGACUGGAAUUCCUGGUGUAGCGGUGAAAUGCGCAGAUAUCAGGAGGAACACCGGUGGCGAAGGCGGGUCUCUGGGCCGAUAUUGACGCUGAGGAGCGAAAGCGUGGGGAGCGAACAGG